Long non-coding RNA from Drosophila yakuba, 2739 nucleotides. RefSeq lists it as uncharacterized. The transcript is spliced from 2 exons. The record is from RefSeq and is a predicted model, not a curated record. Lineage: Eukaryota; Metazoa; Arthropoda; Insecta; Diptera; Drosophilidae.
AAAGAAAAGAAAAGAAAAGAAAAGAAAGGAAUUGCCCUACAUAAAUUCUAUUUUUCUUACAAAAUAACUUAGUUUCCUAACAUAAGGCGGAAUUUAUUUUCCGAUCGGAAUAACUUUGCUGAUCUGCUUAGCUGGUUGCCGAUCUGCUUGAUAAGCAGUCGGUAAAGUGUAAAGCGGUGUAAGGUAGAAUAUGUAGAAAUUUAGAAAUUUAAUGUAAAGCUGGUAAAUUUAAUUAAAUAAUGUUCUUGUGCUUAACGGUGGCGCUGCUGAUUGAUGAACUCCAAAAAAAGACCUCCUGGUCGGGCAAUGUAUGCAUCCCUCACUGGUCUCAGUGGCCUCACUGGUUAAUUUUUGAAAUAAAUUAUUCUCCUUUUUUAUGCCCUUAACAAAAAAAUUCUAAACCACAACACAGGUACAAAACUUACCCUCUAGGAGUAGGCACUAAAGUUAACGAAAAUAUAAAAUUUUCACCGCUGAUUCACUGGGUAUUCUACGUCUCUCUUUUUUUGUAAUUUUGAGAGAUCACUAUAUUUUUGCCUUUUGGACAGACCGGACGCACUUUCUUGCUGGCUGGCUUAAACUCAAUUAAUGCCCAGUGGCUACCGCUUCGGGUCGGGACCCCGAGUCUGAACUCCAAAAAUUCAGUUGGAGAAAUGUUCUACAUGACGGCCUAAUUAACAUUUUUCCCGACCUAAAUAAGUGCCAACUUUUAGGACGAGAUCGCAAAUCUCAAAUCUCACUUGGGGUAAGAUAUUGUCACGCUGUUUUGUCCUUGGAGCUUGGAUCUAGUGGGAUCUGCCAGAAUGCAUCCUUAAGGUCUAAGGUAGUAAUGAAUUCAGCUUUAGGGAGUCAACUCAAUAUUCCAUUUAUUAAGGGCAUAGGGUAUGCAUCUUUUACUGUCACCUCAUUUUACUUUCGGCUAUCGAUACAAAGCCUAACUUUUCCUGGUUUUUGCACCAGGACUACUGUGGAGGACCAAGCGCCGGAUGAUUCUUCAAUGACCUAUGCGAUACGGCAUAGUGUCUUUGUUUUACUGGCUUUGCUUAAGCAACAUCAACGGAGUGGGUGAUCAAUUGGGUCCUUCCUAAUCCUUUUAUCGCAUACGACGGGAAAAGUUGAACAACCUGAAGCAGCGUUUUCUGCUGGCUUUGAGUAAGCUCUCGAGCCGAAGGCCCUUCUAAGACUGCCACUACAUGGUUGUUGCCGCAGAAAGCUUCAGGUAGCAGCUGAAAGUGUUUCCAAAAAUCUAUGCCUAAAUAGAGAUCCCCUGCUAAAGAUGGAACUACGUAGAAGGUAAUCAUUUUGUUCCCAUUUCGGAAGGACACUUCAGUGAUUUCACGGCCGGUAAUUUUUUGAGAUUGUCCAUCGGCUGUUUUAACAUCUGCGGUAAAUUUCUGGCAUAAAAUAUUUAGUCCUGGCAGUUCUGUGGCCAGACUAUCACCUAUGCAGCUAACAGAUGCCCCUGUAUUUAAUAAGCCCACUACUGUUUUUCCCAGCAUUUGCACCUGAUCAUACGGCCUAACGUCGCGAAGUUGCCCCACCAUGGCUGAGAGAAGCAGCUUCCGUUCUUCCUUUCUUAGUUUUUUCUUUUUUCCCUGCGAACUUUUGAUCGGCUUGUAUCUGUGCCAUCGAGCUUUUGUUGGAGCUGGUCCAUCUCAAAGGUUGUAGAUACACCGCUACUUGUUUGGUUGAAAUCGCUUAAUUGGUCAUCGUCGAUUUCGAAACCAUCUGUCUGCGUGCCUUUGCGGAACGCCCUUGCUGGUUUUUUUGAGCGUAACUACUACAUUUACUGCAUGACGGCGUAUAAGUAUCUGCUUUACCGCAGCCAUAACAGAAGACACGUAUGUCCGCGGUGCACUCCUGAUAUCUGUGACCCUUUUCCCGGCAGUUGCAGCACUGCAAUUCCAUGGCCGCUAACUCUAUGUCUUAUCAUCGAGUUCCGAUUCUGACUCGAUUUGGCGUUGGACCUCGCAAACCUGUCGCCUGGGUACCUGGCGUUGUGGAAAUACCUGAGGCUUCCCCACGCUUUGCAUGAAGAUUUCCCGAGUCCUAACCAACCUUCUUAAUUCGGAAACUGUAUACGCUCAUAUAAAAUUUCGUGCUGAAUUUCGGGUUGGAGAUUGGCUCGUAUGGGCCAUGGACAUGGGCAAUAGUCUAUCCGCAAGAGUUGCGAUUACCCACCCGGUAGAAAUCAUCGAAUAAUUCGUUUUCACUGGUCUAUCUCGGCCCUGAUAUUCUUGUCAGUUCGGUCGUCCUUAAAUUGCCCUUUUAGUGCGGCGCAUAAUUCAUACCAGCGCACAACGGUUACACUUUUGUGGUAACGCCAAUACCACUCGCUCGCAAUACCAUCGAAUAACGUAAUGGUAUUUUGAGCCACGAGCUGAAGAUUACCGUCCAAUGUUUGACCGGCUAAAGCUUCGACUCGAUCAACGACCACAACGAGUGGGGACGCUCGAUUUUAAGGCGGAGGACUGAAGACCAAAAGAAUUCGAAACAACAAAUAGCGAAAGAUUGCACGCGCAUCUGGCCGUGCAGCUGCAAUAACCUGAAAAUGCAAGAUGGAGCGCUUCCCGCGGGAGCGACGACGGCAGCCAACAGCACCGACGCAGGCAGAGGAAGCGACAGAGCUGGGGGACUAUCAAGAAAACUUGUAAUUCAGAUUUAGUUCCAAUUUUUGUGUAAAAAAAUUCGGACGGGCAUGGAAUAAAUAGCCUAUCUUUUAUUUAACUUAUAUAUAAA